AAUUGGACUUGGGCGUAAUUUUUAACAAAAAUGGUUAAAUAAUUUCUCCCUCAUUAAGUCCUAAAUAAACUAAUACUUGAUAGACUCACAAAUUAUGUAAUUUUUGAGUUUGAGUACGUAUCACACAUUUU
RNAcentral lists this small nucleolar RNA (131 nucleotides) under Bombyx mori (domestic silkworm). Its description in RNAcentral is "Bm_88". The record is from RNAcentral. Lineage: Eukaryota; Metazoa; Arthropoda; Insecta; Lepidoptera; Bombycidae.